AGUGAACGCUGGCGGUAGGCCUAACACAUGCAAGUCGAACGGCAGCACAGUAAGAGCUUGCUCUUACGGGUGGCGAGUGGCGGACGGGUGAGGAAUACAUCGGAAUCUACUUUUUCGUGGGGGAUAACGUAGGGAAACUUACGCUAAUACCGCAUACGACCUACGGGUGAAAGCAGGGGAUCUUCGGACCUUGCGCGGUUGAAUGAGCCGAUGUCGGAUUAGCUAGUUGGCGGGGGAAAGGCCCACCAAGGCGACGAUCCGUAGCUGGUCUGAGAGGAUGGUCAGCCACACUGGAACUGAGACACGGUCCAGACUCCUACGGGAGGCAGCAGUGGGGAAUAUUGGACAAUGGGCGCAAGCCUGAUCCAGCCAUACCGCGUGGGUGAAGAAGGCCUUCGGGUUGUAAAGCCCUUUUGUUGGGAAAGAAAAGCAGCAGGUUAAUACCCCGCUGUUCUGACGGUACCCAAAGAAUAAGCACCGGCUAACUUCGUG
This 492-nucleotide ribosomal RNA is filed under the name uncultured bacterium. RNAcentral describes it as "partial 16S ribosomal RNA". It matches the Rfam family "Bacterial small subunit ribosomal RNA", at positions 29 to 507 of the family's 1533-position model. The record is from RNAcentral.